This 225-nucleotide ribosomal RNA is filed under the name uncultured bacterium. Its description in RNAcentral is "partial 16S ribosomal RNA". It matches the Rfam family "Bacterial small subunit ribosomal RNA", at positions 15 to 244 of the family's 1533-position model. The record is from RNAcentral.
GAUCAUGGCUCAGGAUGAACGCUGGCGGCGUGCCUAAUACAUGCAAGUCUAACGCUUCACUUCGGUGAAGAGUGGCGAACGGGUGAGUAAUACAUAAGUAACCUGGCAUCUACAGGGGGAUAACUGAUGGAAACGUCAGCUAAGACCGCAUAGGUGUAGAGAUCGCAUGAACUCUAUAUGAAAAGUGCUACGGGACUGGUAGAUGAUGGACUUAUGGCACAUUAG